Molecule: non-coding RNA, 1492 nt
Organism: Danio rerio (zebrafish)
Lineage: Eukaryota; Metazoa; Chordata; Actinopteri; Cypriniformes; Danionidae
Source: RefSeq, a predicted model, not a curated record
GGAAGCUGCAGAAGCACAGGAAGAGCUGCUGCUGUUUAAACAAGAGCUCAACAUAUAUAUAUAUAUAUAUAAAGCAGAAGACGAGUGUCAGACACACAGAAUGGCUGAUAGGAGUCCUCUGUUUCUGCUGCUCAUCUUCUGGACACUCAGCACAGGUGUGUUUGGAGCAGAAGACACUCGUGUGUUCAGCAGUUCUGGAGAAACUGUUCAUCUGCCCUGUAGAAACACUGAUCAGCCCUGCAGACCAUCAGGAACUACAUGGACCUACAGCAGUUACAGACAGACAACAGCAGUUGAGCUGAUUGGUUUAGGGGUAAAUAAGACAAACUCAGAGAGACUGAAUCUGGGCUCUGACUGCUCUCUGAUCAUCAGUAGAGUCACAACAGAAGAUGCUGGACUUUACACCUGUCAACAGUGGAGUGGAGAAGGAGGACACCGGUAUGGAGCUGAUUCAGUUGUGUUUCUGCAUGUUGUUGCUGUCUCUCCAUCAUCAUCAUCAUCAUCAUCAUCUUCUUCAUCAUCAUCUGAUAUUGGUCCGGGUGUCUUUCUGACUCUUUCCUGUCAGCUGUAUUCAGACAAUGGACACUCUUGUGAAAGUUUGGUCACAUAUGAGCAUCUUCAUCUGUCCUGGGUGAAUGAGGCUGGUGUUGAUCUGAACACAAACUCCAGAUAUCAGAUAAUCUUCUAUCCUCAACACUGUCUCAUCAGUCUGUCUACAACACUCAUCAGUGAAGAUGAAGAUAAACAGUGGAGAUGUGGAGUCUAUCAGAGAAAUCAACUGAAGACCUCAGACACGUUUACUGUCCACUAUUCAGCUAAAGCUCAAACAACAACAACAGCAACAACAGCAACAACAACAGCAGCAGCAGCAGCAGUGACUCCAGACCACAACACAAACACAAAAAAAACCAGCAGGAGCUGCUUCACCAGUGCUUUCAGUUCUGCUUUCUGCUGCUGCUUUGGCUGUUUUCAUCGCUGCUGUUCUGUGUUUGAUCCAGCGCAGAAGAAGAGCUGCUCAUCAAAGAGCGAGCGGUGAAUCAGCGGUCAAAGAUGAGAAUCAAGUCCACUAUCAAACAAUCCACAUGUCCAUUAAUCCUGCUGCCAGAGCCCAUGAGCAGACGGAGGAUUCAGUCACUUAUUCUGAGGUCACUUGUGCUGGGAAAAAGCCGGAGAAAUCAGCCAGUGAUGAUGAUGGUAAUGACUCAGUGACUUACGCCGCCGUCAGCAGAAGAGCUUAAUGUGUGCAGAAGAAGAAAAAGAGCCUUCAGGAAUAAAGAUCAACACAAACAGGCAGAAAUCACAGCAGCAUCACUGCAGCAUUUCAGGAGCACAAGUUUCCCUCAAAUGCGCAGAUUCAGGACUUUAGUGUGGAGAAUUGGAGAGAUUUAGAGCAGAACAAACACAGCUGGAAUAUUACUGCACUGGAAAGAGGACAAAGCAGCUGUUCUGAAGGAGAGAAAGAAAGAAAGAAAGAAAGAUAGAAAGAGAGAAA